GACGAACGCUGGCGGCGUGCUUAACACAUGCAAGUCGAACGGUAAGGCCCCUUCGGGGGUACACGAGUGGCGAACGGGUGAGUAACACGUGGGUAAUCUGCCCUGCACUUCGGGAUAAGCCUGGGAAACUGGGUCUAAUACCGGAUAUGAACUCCUGCCGCAUGGUGGGGGUUGGAAAGUUUUUCGGUGCAGGAUGAGCCCGCGGCCUAUCAGCUUGUUGGUGGGGUAAUGGCCUACCAAGGCGACGACGGGUAGCCGGCCUGAGAGGGUGAUCGGCCACACUGGGACUGAGACACGGCCCAGACUCCUACGGGAGGCAGCAGUGGGGAAUAUUGCACAAUGGGCGAAAGCCUGAUGCAGCGACGCCGCGUGGGGGAUGACGGUCUUCGGAUUGUAAACCCCUUUCAGUAGGGACGAAGCGCAAGUGACGGUACCUGCAGAAGAAGCACCGGCUAACUACGUGCCAGCCGCCGCCGUAACAC
This 482-nucleotide ribosomal RNA is filed under the name uncultured bacterium. RNAcentral's name for it is "bacterial SSU rRNA". It matches the Rfam family "Bacterial small subunit ribosomal RNA", at positions 28 to 526 of the family's 1533-position model. The record is from RNAcentral.